UAUACAUGCAAGUCGAACGGCAGCACAGCAGAGCUUGCUCUGUGGGUGGCGAGUGGCGGACGGGUGAGGAAUACAUGGGAAUCUGCCCAGUCGUGGGGGAUAACGUAGGGAAACUUACGCUAAUACCGCAUGCGCCCUUCGGGGGAAAGCCGGGGACCUUCGGGCCUGGCGCGAUUGGAUGAGCCCAUGUCGGAUUAGCUAGUUGGCGGGGUAAUGGCCCACCAAGGCGACGAUCCGUAGCUGGUCUGAGAGGAUGAUCAGCCACACUGGAACUGAGACACGGUCCAGACUCCUACGGGAGGCAGCAGUAGGGAAUAUUGGACAAUGGGCGCAAGCCUGAUCCAGCCAUGCCGCGUGAGUGAAGAAGGCCCUCGGGUUGUAAAGCUCUUUUGUCCGGAAAGAAAAGCGCCGGGUUAAUACCCUAGUGUCCUGACGGUACCGGAAGAAUAAGCACCGGCUAACUUCGUGCCAGCAGCCGCGGUAAUACGAAGGGUGCAAGCGUUACUCGGAAUUACUGGGCGUAAAGCGUGCGUAGGUGGUUUGUUAAGUCUGAUGUGAAAGCCCUGGGCUCAACCUGGGAAUUGCAUUGGAUACUGGCAGGCUAGAGUGCGGUAGAGGGUAGUGGAAUUCCCGGUGUAGCAGUGAAAUGCGUAGAGAUCGGGAGGAACAUCUGUGGCGAAGGCGACUACCUGGACCAGCACUGACACUGAGGCACGAAAGCGUGGGGAGCAAAACAGGAUUAGAUACCCUGGUAGUCCACGCCCUAAACGAUGCGAACUGGAUGUUGGGCUCAACUUGGGAGCUCAGUAUCGAAGCUAACGCGUUAAGUUCGCCGCCUGGGGGAGUACGGUCGCAAGACUGAAACUCAAAGGGAAUUGACGGGGGGCCCGCACAAGCGGNGGAGUAUGUGGUUUUAAUUUCGAUGCAACGCGAAGAACCCUUACCUGGGUCUUGACAUCCACGGGAACUUUCCCAGGAGAUGGGAUUGGNGCCCUUCGGG
This 1000-nucleotide ribosomal RNA is filed under the name Thermomonas sp. RNAcentral's name for it is "bacterial SSU rRNA". It matches the Rfam family "Bacterial small subunit ribosomal RNA", at positions 50 to 1024 of the family's 1533-position model. The record is from RNAcentral. Lineage: Bacteria; Pseudomonadati; Pseudomonadota; Gammaproteobacteria; Lysobacterales; Lysobacteraceae.